UACAGAGGUGGCAAGCGUUGUUCGGAAUUACUGGGCGUAAAGGGCGCGUAGGCGGCCAUCUAAGUCAGACGUGAAAUCCCCCGGCUUAACCUGGGAACUGCGUCUGAUACUGGGAGGCUCGAGUUUGGGAGAGGGAUGUGGAAUUCCAGGUGUAGCGGUGAAAUGCGUAGAUAUCUGGAGGAACACCGGUGGCGAAGGCGGCAUCCUGGACCAACACUGACGCUGAUGCGCGAAAGCUAGGGGAGCAAACGGG
This 253-nucleotide ribosomal RNA is filed under the name uncultured bacterium. RNAcentral describes it as "partial 16S ribosomal RNA". It matches the Rfam family "Bacterial small subunit ribosomal RNA", at positions 524 to 776 of the family's 1533-position model. The record is from RNAcentral.